Molecule: ribosomal RNA, 390 nt
Filed under: Triticum aestivum (bread wheat)
Lineage: Eukaryota; Viridiplantae; Streptophyta; Magnoliopsida; Poales; Poaceae
Description: partial small subunit ribosomal RNA
Source: RNAcentral
AUGGGGAGGGAAGACGGAACUGAGGGGAACGAGGACAAUGAAGAUGAUGAAGAAGAAGAGGAUGACGAAAAAGAAGAUGAUGAAGGAAAGGAGGACGAUGAUGAUGAAGAAGGCGAUGGGAAUGACAAAGACAAGGAAGAUGAUGGGCAGGGGAAGCAGGAUGAAGAUGACAGUGGAGGUGGCAACGGUGGUUCAGGCAACAAUGGUGGCUCCGAUCGGGACGAGGAUCCCGCAGCUGAAAACCCAAGCAGCGAUGAUGAUGAACAAUGCAUGCUGCAAUUUCUGAUUGAAAAGAAGAGGGACAGAAAGGCAAAAGGAUUGGAUGAGGCAGAUAGGAUCUCUAUCAGAGACCUUCAACCGAAGCGAGGAGGAUGUUCGAAGAGUUGUUGA